This 271-nucleotide unclassified non-coding RNA is filed under the name Hevea brasiliensis (rubber tree). The record is from RNAcentral. Lineage: Eukaryota; Viridiplantae; Streptophyta; Magnoliopsida; Malpighiales; Euphorbiaceae.
AGUCAGAUAUGGAGGAGCUGCAAUCUCGCAUAGUAAUUGCCGAGAACUUACCUGAGGAUCAUUGCCACCAAAACCUCAUGAAGAUAUUUUCUGCUGUUGGGAGUGUUAAGAAUAUUCGAACUUGUCAACCUCAAAUCUCAGAUGGUGGAGCUUCUUCAACAUCUAAAUCCGCAAAAGCUGAUGGAAUGCAUUACAGUAACAAGUUGCAUGCAUUCGUGGAAUAUGAAUCGGUGGAGCUUGCGGAGAAGGCUGUUGCAGAAUUAAAUGAUGA